UGGGGAAUAUUGCACAAUGGGCGAAAGCCUGAUGCAGCAACGCCGCGUGAGUGAUGAAGGCCUUCGGGUUGUAAAGCUCUGUCUUUUGGGACGAUAAUGACGGUACCAAAGGAGGAAGCCACGGCUAACUACGUGCCAGCAGCCGCGGUAAUACGUAGGUGGCAAGCGUUGUCCGGAUUUACUGGGCGUAAAGGAUGCGUAGGCGGAUUUUUAAGUGAGAUGUGAAAUACCCGGGCUUAACUUGGGUGCUGCAUUUCAAACUGGGAAUCUAGAGUGCGGGAGAGGAGAAUGGAAUUCCUAGGGUGUAGCGGUGAAAUGCGUAGAAGAUUAGGAAGAACACCAGUGGCGAAGGCCGAUU
Molecule: ribosomal RNA, 358 nt
Filed under: uncultured bacterium
Lineage: Bacteria
Description: partial 16S ribosomal RNA
Rfam family: Bacterial small subunit ribosomal RNA
Source: RNAcentral